GUGGUGUGUGCGAAACUACUUUUGAUAAAACAGAAUUAUUGAAACAUCCUUGUUUGUUAGAUUAUAACAAGUGUCAAAUAGAUGCAAAUUUUUAUGUUUAUCCUGCACUCGAUGAUGGAAAAAUUCUACAUAAGAGUUUGGUGGAUAGUGCAGAGAUUAUUGUUACGGAAACCAGCAAAGUCCCAAACCAAAAGACUGAUGCAAGUAAUUGGCGAAAUAUAAGAAUUAUAGAAGAGGAACGUUUAAUCGACGAAAUUUGUAAAUGUCCGCCGUUAUGGAAUUUUAAACUUCCCCUUAUCGAAAGAAGCCUGCAAAUAAAAAAAAACUGUGGGAAGAAGUAACAGAAGCAAUGGAUGGUAGUAUUUAAUAGUCAUAAUUUAACUGGACUAAAAUUCGUUCAUAUUAAAUAUAUUUUUCUUUUCUAGGCAAAAUGGACAUUAUAACUAUUAAAAAAAGAUGGAAAUAUCUGUGCGAUACUUUCCGAAACCAUAAAAAUAAGCAGCAUCAGCCUAGUGGCUCGGCAGGAAUAUCGCGUCAAAAAAA
This is a long non-coding RNA of Vollenhovia emeryi, 543 nucleotides long. RefSeq lists it as uncharacterized. The record is from RefSeq and is a predicted model, not a curated record. Lineage: Eukaryota; Metazoa; Arthropoda; Insecta; Hymenoptera; Formicidae. The transcript has 2 exons.